GACGAACCGUGCGAACGUUAUUCGGAAUCACUGGGCUUAAAGGGCGCGUAGGCGGUCCCGUCAGUCAGGGGUGAAAUCCCACGGCCCAACCGUGGAAGUGCCUCUGAUACUGCGGGCCUCGAGGGGGAUAGGGGCGUGCGGAACUCAGGGUGGAGCGGUGAAAUGCGUAGAUAUCCUGAGGAACACCGGUGGCGAAAGCGGCGCGCUGGAUCACUUCUGACGCUGAGGCGCGAAAGCCAGGGGAGCAAACGGG
RNAcentral lists this ribosomal RNA (253 nucleotides) under uncultured bacterium. RNAcentral describes it as "partial 16S ribosomal RNA". It matches the Rfam family "Bacterial small subunit ribosomal RNA", at positions 524 to 776 of the family's 1533-position model. The record is from RNAcentral.